This 1343-nucleotide ribosomal RNA is filed under the name uncultured bacterium. RNAcentral's name for it is "bacterial SSU rRNA". It matches the Rfam family "Bacterial small subunit ribosomal RNA". The record is from RNAcentral.
UCCUAGUGAUUAGAGUUUGAUCAUGGCUCAGAACGUACGCUGGCGGCACGCCUAACACAUGCAAGUCGAACGAAGUAGCAAUACUUAGUGGCAGACGGGUGAGUAACAUGUAGGUAUCUGCCCUUUGGCCUGGAAUAACACGAGGAAACUUGUGCUAAUACCGGAUAAGUCUUUACGGAGAAAGCUUUAUGCACCAUUGGAGGAGCCUGCACUUGAUUAGUUUGUUGGUGGGGUAAUGGCCUACCAAGACUGUGAUCAAUAGCUGAUUUGAGAGGAUGAUCAGCCACAUUGGGACUGAGACACGGCCCAAACUCCUACGGGAGGCAGCAGUGGGGAAUCUUGCACAAUGGAGGAAACUCUGAUGCAGCGAUGCCGCGUGAGUGAAGAAGGCCUUUGGGUUGUAAAGCUCUUUCGUCGGGGAAGAAAAUGACUGUACCCGAAUAAGAAGGUCCGGCUAACUUCGUGCCAGCAGCCGCGGUAAUACGAAGGGACCUAGCGUAGUUCGGAAUUACUGGGCUUAAAGAGUUCGUAGGUGGUUGAAAAAGUUGGUGGUGAAAUCCCAGAGCUUAACUCUGGAACUGCCAUCAAAACUUUUCAGCUAGAGUAUGAUAGAGGAAAGCAGAAUUUCUAGUGUAGAGGUGAAAUUCGUAGAUAUUAGAAAGAAUACCAAUUGCGAAGGCAGCUUUCUGGAUCAUUACUGACACUGAGGAACGAAAGCAUGGGUAGCGAAGAGGAUUAGAUACCCUCGUAGUCCAUGCCGUAAACGAUGUGUGUUAGACGUUGGAAAUUUAUUUUCAGUGUCGCAGCGAAAGCGAUAAACACACCGCCUGGGGAGUACGACCGCAAGGUUAAAACUCAAAUGAAUUGACGGGGACCCGCACAAGUAGUGGAGCAUGUGGUUUAAUUCGAAGAUACGCGCAGAACCUUACCAACACUUGACAUGUUCGUCGCGACUCUAAGAGACUAGAGUUUUCGGUUCGGCCGGACGAAACACAGGUGCUGCAUGGCUGUCGUCAGCUCGUGUCGUGAGAUGUUGGGUUAAGUCCCGCAGCGAGCGCAACCCUCACUUUUAGUUGCCAUCAUUUAGUUGGGCACUCUGAAAGAACUGCCAGUGAUAAGCUGGAGGAAGGUGGGGAUGACGUCAAGUCCUCAUGGCCCUUACGUGUUGGGCUACACACGUGCUACAAUGGUAUCUACAACAGGAAGCAAGACUGCGAGGUCAAGCAAAUCCUUAAAAGAUACCUCAGUUCGGAUUGCACUCUGCAACUCGAGUGCAUGAAGCUGGAAUUACUAGUAAUCGUGGAUCAGCGUGCCACGGUGAAUGCGUUCCCGGGUCUGUAGAC